GAUGAAGAACGUAGCGAAAUGCGAUACGUAGUGUGAAUUGCAGAAUUCAGUGAAUCAUCGAAUCUUUGAACGCACAUUGCACCUCUCGGUAUUCCGGGAGGUAUGCCUGUUCGAGCGUCAUUUGUACCCUCAAGCUCUGCUUGGUGUUGGGUGUUUGUUCCGCCUCUGUGUGUGAACUCGCCUCAAAACAAUUGGCAGCCGGCGUACUUGUUUCGGAGCGCAGCACAUUUUGCGAUCCAGAUCAACGUACAGCGGCAUCCAAGAAGCCUUAUUUAACGCGCUUGACCUCGGAUCAGGUAGGGAUACCCGCUGAACUUAAGCAUAUCAAUAAGCGGAGGA
Molecule: unclassified non-coding RNA, 339 nt
Filed under: soil metagenome
Description: partial contains 5.8S ribosomal RNA, internal transcribed spacer 2, and large subunit ribosomal RNA
Rfam family: 5.8S ribosomal RNA (bases 1-120)
Source: RNAcentral